RNAcentral lists this ribosomal RNA (460 nucleotides) under uncultured bacterium. RNAcentral describes it as "partial 16S ribosomal RNA". It matches the Rfam family "Bacterial small subunit ribosomal RNA", at positions 338 to 795 of the family's 1533-position model. The record is from RNAcentral.
CCUACGGGUGGCAGCAGUGAGGAAUAUUGGUCAAUGGGCGGGAGCCUGAACCAGCCAAGUCGCGUGAGGGAAGACGGUCCUAUGGGUUGUAAACCUCUUUAGUCGGGGAGCAAUGCCGGGCACGCGUGCCCGGAGGGAGAGUACCCGCAGAAUAAGCAUCGGCUAACUCCGUGCCAGCAGCCGAGGUAAUACGGGGGAUGCGAGCGUUAUCCGGUUUUAUUGGGUUUAAAGGGUGCGUAGGCGGGUGUUUAAGUCGGCGGUAAAAGGUCGGGGCUCAACCCGGGCCGGCCGUUGAAACUGGCGAUCUUGAGUGGGCUAGAGGUAUGCGGAAUGCGUGGUGUAGCGGUGAAAUGCAUAGAGAUCACGCAGAACUCCGAUUGCGAAGGCAGCAUACCGGCGCACGACUGACGCUGAGGCACGAAAGCGUGGGGAUCGAACAGGAUUAGAUACCCUUGUAGUC